This 251-nucleotide ribosomal RNA is filed under the name uncultured prokaryote. RNAcentral's name for it is "partial 16S rRNA". It matches the Rfam family "Bacterial small subunit ribosomal RNA", at positions 525 to 775 of the family's 1533-position model. The record is from RNAcentral.
ACGUAGGGGGCGAGCGUUGUCCGGAAUUACUGGGCGUAAAGGGUGCGUAGGCGGCAGACUAAGUCUUGUGUGAAAUACCCGGGCUCAACCCGGGGGUUGCAUGGGAAACUGGCCUGCUUGAGUACAGUAGAGGCGAGCGGAAUUCCUGGUGUAGCGGUGAAAUGCGUAGAGAUCAGGAGGAACACCAGUGGCGAAGGCGGCUUGCUGGACGGAAACUGACGCUGAGGUGCGAAAGCGUGGGGAGCAAACAG